RNAcentral lists this ribosomal RNA (467 nucleotides) under uncultured bacterium. RNAcentral describes it as "partial 16S ribosomal RNA". It matches the Rfam family "Bacterial small subunit ribosomal RNA", at positions 28 to 507 of the family's 1533-position model. The record is from RNAcentral.
GACGAACGCUGGCGGCGUGCUUAACACAUGCCAGUCGAACGGAAAGGCCCUGCUUUUGUGGGGUGCUCGAGUGGCGAACGGGUGAGUAACACGUGAGUAACCUGCCCUUGACUUUGGGAUAACUUCAGGAAACUGGGGCUAAUACCGGAUAGGAGCUCCUGCUGCAUGGUGGGGGUUGGAAAGUUUCGGCGGUUGGGGAUGGACUCGCGGCUAUCAGCUUGUUGGUGGGGUAGUGGCUUACCAAGGCUUUGACGGGUAGCCGGCCUGAGAGGGUGACCGGCCACAUUGGGACUGAGAUACGGCCCAGACUCCUACGGGAGGCAGCAGUGGGGAAUAUUGCACAAUGGGCGGAAGCCUGAUGCAGCAACGCCGCGUGCGGGAUGACGGCCUUCGGGUUGUAAACCGCUUUCGCCUGUGACGAAGCGUGAGUGACGGUAAUGGGUAAAGAAGCACCGGCUAACUACGUG